RNAcentral lists this ribosomal RNA (801 nucleotides) under Harringtonia aguacate. RNAcentral describes it as "Raffaelea aguacate partial large subunit ribosomal RNA". It matches the Rfam family "Eukaryotic large subunit ribosomal RNA", at positions 87 to 917 of the family's 3401-position model. Lineage: Eukaryota; Fungi; Ascomycota; Sordariomycetes; Ophiostomatales; Ophiostomataceae. The record is from RNAcentral.
CGGCGAGUGAAGCGGCAACAGCUCAGAUUUGAAAUCUGGCCCCCCGCGGGCCCGAGUUGUACUUUGGAGAGGACGCUUCUGGCGCGGCGCCGGCCGAGUGCCCUGGAACGGGCCGCCGGAGAGGGUGAGAGCCCCGUACGGCCGGCCGCCUAGCCUCUGCGAAGCUCCUUCGACGAGUCGAGUAGUUUGGGAAUGCUGCUCAAAAUGGGAGGUAAAUUUCUUCUAAAGCUAAAUACCGGCCAGAGACCGAUAGCGCACAAGUAGAGUGAUCGAAAGAUGAAAAGCACUUUGAAAAGAGGGUUAAACAGUACGUGAAAUUGCUGAAAGGGAAGCGCCUGUGGCCAGACUUGCGCCCCGCGGACCACCCGGCGCCCGCGCCGGGGCACGCCGCGGGGCGCAGGCCAGCAUCGGCUCUCCCAGGGGGACAAAGGCCGCGGGAACGUAGCGCCCUCGGGCGUGUUACAGCCCGCGGCGCCAUGCCCCUGGGGGGGCCGAGGACCGCGCUCCGGCAAGGAUGCUGGCGUAAUGGCCACCGGCGACCCGUCUUGAAACACGGACCAAGGAGUCAAGCAGUGGGGCGAGUGUCUGGGUGGCAAACCCGCACGCGGAAUGAAAGUGAACGCAGGUGGGAGCUUCGGCGCACCACCGACCGAUCCUGAUGUCUUCGGAUGGAUUUGAGUAGGAGCCUUGCCGCUUGGACCCGAAAGAUGGUGAACUAUGCCUGUAUAGGGUGAAGCCAGAGGAAACUCUGGUGGAGGCUCGCAGCGGUUCUGACGUGCAAAUCGAUCGUCAAAUAUGGCA